CAAAUACUCGCUCCGUUCUGAAUUACUUGUCUUAGAUUUGUCUAAAUACGGAGGUAUCUAGCACUAAAAUGAGUCUAGAUACAUCCGUAUCUAGACAAAUCCAAGACAAGUAAUUCGGAACGGAGGAAGUAGGUG
Non-coding RNA from Triticum urartu, 135 nucleotides. The record is from Rfam. Lineage: Eukaryota; Viridiplantae; Streptophyta; Magnoliopsida; Poales; Poaceae.